This 433-nucleotide ribosomal RNA is filed under the name uncultured bacterium. RNAcentral's name for it is "partial 16S ribosomal RNA". It matches the Rfam family "Bacterial small subunit ribosomal RNA", at positions 29 to 507 of the family's 1533-position model. The record is from RNAcentral.
AACGAACGCUGGCGGCAUGCCUAACACAUGCAAGUCGAACGAGACCUUCGGGUCUAGUGGCGCACGGGUGCGUAACGCGUGGGAACCUGCCCUUAGGUUCGGAAUAACUCCCCGAAAGGGGUGCUAAUACCGGAUAAUGUCUUCGGACCAAAGAUUUAUCGCCUUUGGAUGGGCCCGCGUUUGAUUAGCUAGUUGGUAGGGUAAAAGCCUACCAAGGCGACGAUCCAUAGCUGGUCUGAGAGGAUGAUCAGCCACACUGGGACUGAGACACGGCCCAGACUCCUACGGGAGGCAGCAGUGGGGAAUAUUGGACAAUGGGCGAAAGCCUGAUCAAGCAAUGCCGCGUGAGUGAUGAAGGCCUUAGGGUUGUAAAGCUCUUUUACCCGGGAUGAUAAUGACAGUACCGGGAGAAUAAGCUCCGGCUAACUCCGUG